RNAcentral lists this unclassified non-coding RNA (329 nucleotides) under soil metagenome. RNAcentral's name for it is "partial contains 5.8S ribosomal RNA, internal transcribed spacer 2, and large subunit ribosomal RNA". The stretch from base 1 to 120 matches the Rfam family "5.8S ribosomal RNA", at positions 35 to 154 of the family's 154-position model. The record is from RNAcentral.
GAUGAAGAACGUAGCGAAAUGCGAUAAGUAAUGUGAAUUGCAGAAUUCAGUGAAUCAUCGAAUCUUUGAACGCACAUUGCGCCCCUUGGUAUUCCGGGGGGCAUGCCUGUUCGAGCGUCAUUUCAACCCUCAAGCUUCUGCUUGGUCUUGGGCCGUGCCGGCAACGGCUGGCCUUAAAACUAGUGGCGGUGCCAUCGAGCUCUACGCGUAGUAAUUCUAUCUCGCGUCUGGGCUUCGGUGGACGCUGGCCAGCAACCCCCAAUUUUCUAUGGUUGACCUCGGAUCAGGUAGGGAUACCCGCUGAACUUAAGCAUAUCAUAAGCGGAGGA